GAUGAACGCUGGCGGCGUGCCUAAUACAUGCAAGUCGAGCGAACAGACGAGGAGCUUGCUCCUCUGACGUUAGCGGCGGACGGGUGAGUAACACGUGGAUAACCUACCUAUAAGACUGGGAUAACUUCGGGAAACCGGAGCUAAUACCGGAUAAUAUAUUGAACCGCAUGGUUCAAUAGUGAAAGACGGUUUUGCUGUCACUUAUAGAUGGAUCCGCGCCGCAUUAGCUAGUUGGUAAGGUAACGGCUCACCAAGGCAACGAUGCGUAGCCGACCUGAGAGGGUGAUCGGCCACACUGGAACUGAGACACGGUCCAGACUCCUACGGGAGGCAGCAGUAGGGAACCUUCCGCAAUGGGCGAAAGCCUGACGGAGCAACGCCGCGUGAGUGAUGAAGGUCUUCGGAUCGUAAAACUCUGUUAUUAGGGAAGAACAAAUGUGUAAGUAACUAUGCACGUCUUGACGGUACCUAAUCAGAAAGCCACGGCUAACUACGUG
This 497-nucleotide ribosomal RNA is filed under the name uncultured bacterium. RNAcentral describes it as "partial 16S ribosomal RNA". It matches the Rfam family "Bacterial small subunit ribosomal RNA", at positions 28 to 507 of the family's 1533-position model. The record is from RNAcentral.